UACGUAGGGUGCAAGCGUUAAUCGGAAUUACUGGGCGUAAAGCGUGCGCAGGCGGUUUUGUAAGACUGUCGUGAAAUCCCCGGGCUCAACCUGGGAAUGGCGAUGGUGACUGCAAGGCUAGAGUUUAGCAGAGGGGGGUAGAAUUCCACGUGUAGCAGUGAAAUGCGUAGAUAUGUGGAGGAACACCGAUGGCGAAGGCAGCCCCCUGGGUCAAAACUGACGCUCAUGCACGAAAGCGUGGGGAGCAAACAGG
This 253-nucleotide ribosomal RNA is filed under the name uncultured bacterium. RNAcentral's name for it is "partial 16S ribosomal RNA". It matches the Rfam family "Bacterial small subunit ribosomal RNA", at positions 524 to 776 of the family's 1533-position model. The record is from RNAcentral.